RNAcentral lists this ribosomal RNA (497 nucleotides) under uncultured bacterium. Its description in RNAcentral is "partial 16S ribosomal RNA". It matches the Rfam family "Bacterial small subunit ribosomal RNA", at positions 28 to 507 of the family's 1533-position model. The record is from RNAcentral.
GACGAACGCUGGCGGCGUGCCUAAUACAUGCAAGUUGAGCGCUGAAGGUUGGUCCUUGUACCAACUGGCUGAGCAGCGAACGGGUGAGUAACGCGUGGGGAAUCUGCCUUUGAGCGGGGGACAACAUUUGGAAACGAAUGCUAAUACCGCAUAAAAACUUUAAACACAAGUUUUAAGUUUGAAAGAUGCAAUUGCAUCACUCAAAGAUGAUCCCGCGUUGUAUUAGCUAGUUGGUGAGGUAAAGGCUCACCAAGGCGAUGAUACAUAGCCGACCUGAGAGGGUGAUCGGCCACAUUGGGACUGAGACACGGCCCAAACUCCUACGGGAGGCAGCAGUAGGGAAUCUUCGGCAAUGGACGAAAGUCUGACCGAGCAACGCCGCGUGAGUGAAGAAGGUUUUCGGAUCGUAAAACUCUGUUGGUAGAGAAGAACGUUGGUGAGAGUGGAAAGCUCAUCAAGUGACGGUAACUACACAGAAAGGGACGGCUAACUACGUG